Long non-coding RNA from Panicum hallii, 329 nucleotides. RefSeq lists it as uncharacterized. The record is from RefSeq and is a predicted model, not a curated record. The transcript has 2 exons. Lineage: Eukaryota; Viridiplantae; Streptophyta; Magnoliopsida; Poales; Poaceae.
GGGGUGGUGAAGCGGGCCGGCGAGCCGCUCGGGCGGAAGGUGAGGAGGAUGCAGUGGAGAAGAUAAGGCUGGGAAAAAAAGGAAAGAAAGGGAAAUCGAGCAGCUAUCAUUCUCGAUCAAACACAAGAUUCACCUCCUGGAGAUUCGUCGGGUAUAGGAAGGUUUGCAUUGGCAUCAGAUUUGCCCCCUCUGGAGCAUAAAGAGAUUCUCCUGUUUUUACUAUGUUUCUGAUUUGAAAGGACUGCUUGCCAAGAUUUGUGGACCACUGAAUGUGCUGGGAUGUGUAAUUUUCAAUAUUAGAAUCGUCAGUCAAGAGCAAUUUAAGAUUA